This is a long non-coding RNA of Antechinus flavipes (yellow-footed antechinus), 4935 nucleotides long. RefSeq lists it as uncharacterized. The record is from RefSeq and is a predicted model, not a curated record. NCBI's taxonomy places the organism in Eukaryota, Metazoa, Chordata, Mammalia, Dasyuromorphia, Dasyuridae. The transcript is spliced from 3 exons.
UAAGUAAACUUUUACAAAUUCAGGUCUUUAUGUUCUCUGAAACUUAUGGUUUUAGAGAGUUUCCUAGAGCACUGAAUGUAUAAGCAAUUUGCUCAGAACCACACAACCAGUAUUUAUCAGAGGUCAGAUGCCAAUCCAGGUUUUCUCUACUUCAAGCCUAUGGAACUUCAUUUUUCACAACUUAGAACCCAGCUUCUUAAACUAUAGUUCCUAUUCCAUUUGGGAUCUCAACUGAAUAUGAAUUAUGAUUUAUUAGCAAAUGUUUGACUUGUAUGCCUGUAUACCCAGGAUCACAUAAAAUUUUUUUGAGUGAAAAGAGGUCUCAAGUAGAAAAAAUUUAAAAAGCCCUCUUAAAAGGCCUCUUCUAUUUAAAGCCCAAUGGUUGGUAUGCCUUUUCAGUAAGUUAGAAAUAUCCUUAGAUAGAAAUUAGCAGUGCCUAUGAAUCACUAAUAUUCUUUGACUAGUGAGAUCCAGUCCUUAUUUGCCUUGAUGUAAAUUAGAUUAAUUUGGUAGUUUAUAUAUCCCAGGAUGGAACUAUAGUAAGCAACAUGGUGCAAUGGAAAAAGCAUUGAAUUUUGUAUCAGAGAAUCAAGGUUCUGAAUUCCAGUUCUCUCAUUUAUGUUUGUGUGCCCUCAAAUCAUUCAACUCAUCUCUCUGGCUCUCGUCUGCAAAACUGGGCAGUGGGGAAAAAUGCAGUAGAUUAGAUAUAAGGUUCCUCAAAAACUAUAAUUUAUGAAAAAAAUAAUAACAAUACAAUUACCUCCACCACUUAAUAGUGUAAGUUCUGAGUCUAUUUCUUGAUUUGUAGAAUUCAAAUAAUACUACUCAAUACCAAUCCUACUACAAGCUUUCCAACUAUCAAGUGUUAUGUAAUGAGUUACUUCCUGUAUCAUCUCACUUGCUUUUAGUGAGAAAAGAUGAUCAUAUUAUCAAAGUAAGCUUCUAUGAAAGAAUCAAAUAUAUUUGCCAGUAAUUUAUUUUUAAAAUGGUAAAAUAAUACUGGUUUGUGGCCAAUUGCAUUUCUUGGCACUCAAAUUCCCAUAACAUAUUGCUGUCUUGUGCUUGUUUGUGGGUUUAACAGAAUUUGUCAUACACCUCACUCCUACCAACUUUGUAGAGACUUCAAUUCCUGGACUUUCUCCCACAAAAAAACGUAAAAUCAGAAGUUCUUAGCAGAUGCAAACAACAGUGUCUAUAAUUAGCCUCAGUACAAAGCACAGCUAACCUUGCUGCCUUGGGCCUGAAGAAAAAUGUGACCUUGGUAAUCUAGACCACAAGGUCUAGACAAAGAAUUUCUUUAAAUGGUCUUAUUUGUAUUCCUACAAUCCCUACUAUUCCUUUUUCUCUUAAUGCAUUGAUAGCAAGUCAGCAAGGUAGUCAUAUUUGGGUACAAGGGGGAUCAUUUAGGUCCUCUCCUAAAUGAAGAUCCCUCAAAAUUACUGGUAUUCUUUUUAAUCAAUAAGGAUUCUUAGUAAAGCAAGUAAUGCUAGUAUGAGUUUUUGGAGAGAUUUGGAGAUUUGUACUAUAAGUGAUUUAAAUAUCAUACCUUCUUUGAACAAGGUGGAUACUAACAGGAUUAGUUGUCCUGAGUGGCUAUCCUAUCUUUUAUAAGUUAUUCAAAUACAAAUUUCUUAGGUGGUAUUAUGAAUGUGACAUUCUAGAUAUAAUUUAACCAAUGAACAAUACAUUUGGCCUUCUAUCUCCUUUACUCUGGACACAAUGGUUAACUAUUAAUAACACUUGAUAUUACAUUAUCGAAAUUUAUGGUAAUCAUAAUCUGUGUAUUGUUCAUUGGUUAAGUUAUAUCUAGAAUAUCACAUUCAGUUCUCCUUGCCAUAUUUCAAUUGAUACAUAAAGAUGUAUUUAAUAAGAAGGUGACUGUCAUGAAAAAUAGAUCAUGAAAUGGUUGAAAGAAUUGGAAUGUUUAAAAUAGGAAAAGGAGAUUUAGCAAAAAUAUAUAAACUUCUCAAAUAUCUAAAGAGCUGUUUUACAAAAGAUGAGUUUUACUUAUGCUUUGUAAUUGCAGAAAGGAAAACUAGAAAUGAUGGAUGGAAGUUAUAGAAAGGACAAUUGCAACUCAAUAAUAGAACUUUUUACAUUUUGAGAGGCAUAAAAAUGAAUUGGACUGCUUCAUGAAGGAGUUACUUCACUGGAAACGUCUAAGGAGAGGAUACACUAUUACUUAGGGAAAGAUAUCAAAAAUAUUCCUUCUUUGACAAAAAUAUUGCUGUAGAUUACCUUCAAAGUUCCUUAAAACUUUAAGGUUCUAUAAUUCUUGUCAAGUUCUUAUCUGCCACCAAAAUUCUUGUGUACUUAAUAUCUUACUACAUAAUGUGGCACUUGACUAGAUAAUAUCUUGUUUCUCUAAGGGGCAUCGUUUUCCAGGCAAAAAUGUGUGUCCUUCAAAAACAUUUACUAUGAUUCAUAUUUAUUUUUGGCUCUUAUAUAAUCAGAAACAGAGAUGACAUAAUAGAAUAGAAUAGAAAAUUAAAAUUUACUUGAUACACCCAAGUCCCUGAAUAUUAUCAAACCAUAUACCUUUUGAUGCUGCUAACGUUCACUAAAGAUACAUCAAUAGACGGUCCAAAGUUGAGUAUGAAUACGUUUGGCAUUUCAGAAAUCAUUGAAAUUCAAGAUUAUAGCUACAGAUUUAACUCAGGAGAGAAUGAGCCAAUUGUAUCUUGAAAUGAAAUAUACCUGUACAAGAAAAUUAUCUUUUUUUUUUUUUUUUUUUUAACAGAGCUCAUGCCUGGGUAAUUUUUUACAACAUUAUCCCUUGAAUUCUCUUCUGUUGUGACUUUUCCCCUCCCUCCUUCCACCCCCUCCCUCAGAUGGCAAGCAGUCCUAUUCAUGUUAAAUGUCACAGUAUAUACUAAAUAAAAUAUAUGUGUGCAGAACUGAACAGUUCUCUUGUUGCACAGGAAGAAUUCAGAAAGUAAAAAUAACCUGGGAAGAAAAACCAAAAUGCAAACAGUUUACAUUCAUUUCCCAGUGUUCUUUCUUUGGGUGUAGCUGCUUCUCUCCAUCAUUGAUCAAUUGAAACUGAGUUAGAUCUUCUCUUUGUCAAAGAAAUCCACUCAGGAAAAUAAUCCUGAUGAAUUCUAGGAAUCUGGUCUUAUUGGGUAAGUGUGGCAUUCUUGUGUGCUUAUCAUCCAUCUAAUUUUUGGAAUGUGUUUCAUUUCCUUAGUCAUUAAAAAUUAUGGAACUUCUGGUGUCUCUUUUGCAUAGCUACCUGAAGUUCAAUUUUCAUAUAUUCCUAAUCCCUGUGGGACACAGAAAUAAGGUUCUCUUGUGCUUGUUUAUAGAUGAAAGUUCUGCAUUCUGUAAAAAAUGAAAUUGGGACUUGUCCAACCUUUGAUGUAAUAUGUAGCUCCUCCUUCUAAGAUCCUGAAAAAUAAGGAUUUGGGGAUUUCAAGGAUGGGUCUUUGUCCCCAGCACAUAAAGUCUUUUUUCUUUUCAUAUGAACAGGAUAUUUAAUUUCCAAGCCAGAUGUGUUAUCCCAGUUGGAACAAAGAAGAAAGUUUUGAAUAGUAAAAAGACAAAUCCCAAGAGGUACUUGUCCAAAUAACAAAGAACUACUUGAAGACCACAAGACUACUGAGACCCAGAAGAGAUUAUGAGACAGAAAACAGAGAAGCACAAAGUAGUACAUCUUCAGAGCACAUUGGCAACUCAGUAGUAUUGAAAAUAAACAAGUGUUUAAUUGCAACAAGAGAACUAUUCCUCCACCAUCCUGGUUGUAUGUGUAUGUAAAUGUAAAUAUCAAUUUUUUAAAUUAAGCACAAACAAAUGUAAUUUCAUAAACUAAAGCUUGUAUUUAUUAGAGAAAUUAUUAGCAACAUUUAUAUCUUGGGAAGAAAAUAUUUUUUGGUGAUAAGUGGUGAAAUUUAGACAGAAAAGAUAAAAAUACCAAUGACAAUGAGGCAGAAUCUUUGCCAACAACUAUAGUAUACCCAAACUGACAAGGAAAAAAAAUAUGCUCAAUCAUUUUUGUGAUAUGAAUUUACAUCUAAUGAUGAGAUUGGCAUGGAAAAAUCUCUGCUUAGUUUAUAAGGAAGUUUUGUAGGAAACCAGCCAGACCAAAAUAGCAUCUUAAUACCAAGUAGGCAGUGUGCUUGAACAAAUCAAUGAAAUACUUGGAACAAUUUUUAAAAUCUUCAAAGAGAAACAAUGUUUUGAGAAAUUUAUUACAGUUAACAAAGAAUAUUUAUUCUAUUGUAUGAAACUUCUUAUUUAAUUGAGAAAAAUUAAAAAGUUCUAUGCAAUAGGAGAUCUCAUGUUCCCUGCUACUAUUAAAAUGUCAGAAAUAGUUCAUGAAAAAAAGUAUGGGGAUGAAAUACAUAAAAUUCCUUUAUCAAAUGAUAACUGUGUCUGAAAGAUUUUCUGAAAUCAAUUAACAAUCAAUUCCACCAGAUUAUUACCAGGCUUAAGAAAAGCCCAAAGUUUGCAAUUUAGUUAGAUGAAACGACUGAUAUUUCUAACAUAGCACAGGUGUUACUUUAUGUAAGAUAUGUUUGCAUAUGAAGGAAGCAUACAUUAUUGUUUUGUCUCCCUUUGGAAGGGCACACAAGAGGAGAAGAUAUAUGUAUAUUAAAGUCAAUAAAAUUUUCAUAAAUAAAGAUUUACAAUAGAAAAAUUGCUUUGGCGUCUGUACAGACUAUGCUAGAUCAAUGAUGGGUGAGAAUGCUGGAUUUGUAGUAAAAAUUAAAGCUGGUGGCAACGAACAUAUCACUUUUAUUCACUACAUGAUCCAUCAGUAGGUAUUCAUAGCCAAAAAAAAAAAACACCAGUUUAUAUCAUUUUAUAUAUAUAUGGUAAUAUAUAUCACCAAUUAUUAUCAUUAACUUUAUUAAAAGCCAUGCCCUUCACAGUCAUUUGUUUUCAAACCUCUACAAAGACAUGAAUUCUGAUUACAAAAACUUAUUACAUACAGAG